This 253-nucleotide ribosomal RNA is filed under the name uncultured bacterium. RNAcentral's name for it is "partial 16S ribosomal RNA". It matches the Rfam family "Bacterial small subunit ribosomal RNA", at positions 524 to 776 of the family's 1533-position model. The record is from RNAcentral.
UACGUAGGUGGCAAGCGUUGUCCGGAUUUACUGGGCGUAAAGCGCGCGCAGGCGGCUGGUCAAGUCCGAUGUGAAAGCUCCCGGCUUAACUGGGAAACGGCAUCGGAAACUGAUCGGCUUGAAGGUGGGAGAGGGUAGUGGAAUUCCCGGUGUAGUGGUGAAGUGCGUAGAUAUCGGGAAGAACACCCAUGGCGAAGGCAGCUCUCUGGGACGGUACUGACGCUGAGACGCGAAAGCGUGGGGAGCGAACAGG